UAGAUUGACUCAACAACUGCAACACAAC
RNAcentral lists this small RNA (28 nucleotides) under Bombyx mori (domestic silkworm). RNAcentral's name for it is "ovarian small RNA-22171". The record is from RNAcentral. Lineage: Eukaryota; Metazoa; Arthropoda; Insecta; Lepidoptera; Bombycidae.